ACAGCAGCAGCCGCGGUAAUACGAAGGGUGCAAGCGUUACUCGGAAUUACUGGGCGUAAAGCGUGUGUAGGUGGUUGUUUAAGUCUGUCGUGAAAGCCCUGGGCUCAACCUGGGAAUUGCGAUGGAUACUGGGCGACUAGAGUGCGGUAGAGGAUAGUGGAAUUUCCGGUGUAGCAGUGAAAUGCGUAGAGAUCGGAAGGAACAUCUGUGGCGAAGGCGACUAUCUGGGCCAACACUGACACUGAGACACGAAAGCGUGGGGAGCAAACAGGAUUAGAUACCCCCGUAGUCCCUGUCUCUUAUAC
Molecule: ribosomal RNA, 305 nt
Filed under: uncultured bacterium
Lineage: Bacteria
Description: partial 16S ribosomal RNA
Rfam family: Bacterial small subunit ribosomal RNA
Source: RNAcentral